UGGGCUUGACAUGCACAGGGCUGCCGUGUUUCCACGACAUUCCUGUGCAUGUCAAGCCCAGGUAAGGUUCUUCGCGUUGCGUCGAAUUAAACCACAUGCUCCGCUGCUUGUGCGGGCCCCCGUCAAUUCCUUUGAGUUUUAGCCUUGCGGCCGUAGUCCCCAGGCGGGGUGCUUAACGCGUUAGCUGCGGCACAGAGAUCGUGAACUGAUCCCCACACCUAGCACCCAUCGUUUACGGCGUGGACUAC
RNAcentral lists this unclassified non-coding RNA (248 nucleotides) under uncultured Actinomycetes bacterium. Its description in RNAcentral is "uncultured actinobacterium contains 16S-23S intergenic spacer region". The record is from RNAcentral. Lineage: Bacteria; Bacillati; Actinomycetota; Actinomycetes.